GGAGGAGUGGCAGAGCGGUUGAAUGCAGCGGUCUUGAAAACCGCCGGACCUGGAAGGGUUCCGUGAGUUCGAAUCUCACCUCCUCCG
RNAcentral lists this transfer RNA (87 nucleotides) under bacterium. RNAcentral describes it as "tRNA-Ser". It matches the Rfam family "tRNA". From Rfam's summary of the family: Transfer RNA (tRNA) molecules are approximately 80 nucleotides in length. Their secondary structure includes four short double-helical elements and three loops (D, anti-codon, and T loops). Further hydrogen bonds mediate the characteristic L-shaped molecular structure. tRNAs have two regions of fundamental functional importance: the anti-codon, which is responsible for specific mRNA codon recognition, and the 3' end, to which the tRNAs corresponding amino acid is attached (by aminoacyl-tRNA synthetases). tRNAs cope with the degeneracy of the genetic code in two manners: having more than one tRNA (with a specific anti-codon) for a particular amino acid; and 'wobble' base-pairing, i.e. permitting non-standard base-pairing at the 3rd anti-codon position. The record is from RNAcentral.